CUCACUCGUUUUACAGCCAAUUUCGACAGGGCUGCUUCGUAUAUUGAAUAGCAAGAGAAACCCUUUGAGACGACGGCGGUCGUUUUUCCUAGUCAAACGAAAGCAUUCUUCGACCUCGACAAUAUAAUAUAAUAUCGUAUUGUUUGUCUUUUGUGUAACGUUUUCGGAUCGAAGACAAAAUGUAAAUACUCCGAACAGGGUAAACAUAAUCGCGAGAGCACUGCGUAUAAUAGUCGUUCGCUCUCGGCGGUAUGUCAUAUUAUAAUGAUCUUACGUCGUAUAUUGUGCAUUGAGCACACACCGAUUUUUUUUUUAAACUAUAAAACAAUAUAAUAUAUUAGGUACACGCGUGUGUGACUGUGCACUUUUUAAUACUUUUAUAUGGUUAAAUAUAAUAUUUUUAGUAAGACCGUACGGCAGCCCGGAAAACCGUCGAACUCGCUCGAAAUGUGUACGGAUUGAUGAAAAAUAAUAUCGCGUCUUAGCAAUCCGAAGUUUUUACAUGACUACGACGACGACGUAGAAAUGCAAAUGCACAUGACGCAAGUUUAUCUUUAUGUGGACACUAAAUUGGCGUGUAUGUUAACUUGCAAAUCAUACCAUAAGACAGAUGCCAGUUACCUGAAGUAUUUACAAUAUUAGCAGUUUAAAUUUCAGUUUACCGCUAAGAUAUAGUUACCAGGGAGCACGGUUGCUGUGAGAAAAUCAUCGCGUUCAGCUAAACAGUGCGGGCCGGAAUUGUUGGCGUCGCGUAAAAGGAGGGUAGAUAGCCGAGAAUCUACCGAUCCAAUUUCACUUGUACAGAAAAUCAGGAGCCAUGUGUUUAUCGAAUAGCUUACCGCGCCCGGAAGUCGUGCACAACGUGUUUUUCAACAAUUGUCAAGUGCAACAAGUGUUAAGUCGAAUAGCCACUGGCCCGAUGUUUAACACAUUUUUAACACGUACCCUGAAAAUUUUUCGCUGGUCUUCAAUACACAAGAAUUUUAUAGUUAUCCCGAGUUAUAGUAGUAGCAUUAUUUCUUUGUACAUUUUUUCGAGAACUUUUCAUGAUAAAUUAAAUUUUUGAUAACUUUGUCCGACUGUGUGUUGUAGUACUUAAUAGUAAGGUUUCAACACGUUUAUUGGACUAAAUUUACUUGUAUUAAUUCCACCGACCAACACG
Molecule: long non-coding RNA, 1162 nt
Organism: Rhopalosiphum padi (bird cherry-oat aphid)
Lineage: Eukaryota; Metazoa; Arthropoda; Insecta; Hemiptera; Aphididae
Exons: 3
Source: RefSeq, a predicted model, not a curated record